RNAcentral lists this ribosomal RNA (498 nucleotides) under uncultured bacterium. RNAcentral's name for it is "bacterial SSU rRNA". It matches the Rfam family "Bacterial small subunit ribosomal RNA", at positions 899 to 1397 of the family's 1533-position model. The record is from RNAcentral.
ACUCAAAGGAAUAGACGGGGGCCCGCACAAGCGGAGGAACAUGUGGUUUAAUUCGAUGAUACGCGAGGAACCUUACCCGGGCUUGAAAUGCGGACGACCGGCGGUGAGACCCGCCUUCCUUUCGGGGCGUCCGCGUAGGUGCUGCAUGGUUGUCGUCAGCUCGUGCCGUGAGGUGUCGGCUUAAGUGCCAUAACGAGCGCAACCCUCAUCGUUAGUUGCCAUCAGGUUAUGCUGGGGACUCUAGCGAGACUGCCAUCGUAAGGUGCGAGGAAGGUGGGGAUGACGUCAAAUCAGCACGGCCCUUAUGUCCGGGGCGACACACGUGUUACAAUGGGCGGUACAAAGGGUUGCCACCCGGUGACGGGGCGCCAAUCCCCAAAACCGCUCUCAGUUCGGAUCGGAGUCUGCAACUCGACUUCGUGAAGCUGGAUUCGCUAGUAAUCGCGCAUCAGCCACGGCGCGGUGAAUACGUUCCCGGGCCUUGCACACACCGCCCGU